GCCGGGUUGAGUGGCGUCAACUUGUAACGGAAAGCUUCUGUCUGGGUAGUGUGGUGUGAGGGUUGUGGUAUGCAAUGCUGUGUCACUAUUCCCAGGAUGUGGAUGGCGCGUCCAUCUCAAACCAGGAGUCGACAUUGGUACUUUCUCGUAAGGGAGGGUGUCGAGGUCACUAAGGAAGGGUGAACCGCCCCAGGCUGGCUAACAGAGCAGGGAAAAAUCCUCGCUCUUGGUAGUGGGAGGAUCUCGUGCCAGAAUCCUGAUGUGGCUCAGUAUGGCUGUCAACUGCAAUUCGAACCCCGCAC
Molecule: signal recognition particle RNA, 302 nt
Filed under: Phytopythium vexans DAOM BR484
Lineage: Eukaryota; Oomycota; Peronosporomycetes; Pythiales; Pythiaceae
Description: Pythium vexans DAOM BR484 SRP RNA EPrPVex00000013115
Rfam family: Metazoan signal recognition particle RNA
About the family: The signal recognition particle (SRP) is a universally conserved ribonucleoprotein. It is involved in the co-translational targeting of proteins to membranes.
Source: RNAcentral